RNAcentral lists this ribosomal RNA (369 nucleotides) under uncultured bacterium. RNAcentral's name for it is "bacterial SSU rRNA". It matches the Rfam family "Bacterial small subunit ribosomal RNA", at positions 527 to 896 of the family's 1533-position model. The record is from RNAcentral.
GUAGGGUGCGAGCGUUAAUCGGAAUUACUGGGCGUAAAGCGUGCGCAGGCGGUUCGUUGUGUCGGCGGUGAAAGCCCCGGGCUCAACCUGGGAAUGGCCGUUGAAACUGGCGAACUGGAGUGUGGCAGAGGGGGGUGGAAUUCCGCGUGUAGCAGUGAAAUGCGUAGAGAUGCGGAGGAACACCGAUGGCGAAGGCAGCCCCCUGGGCUAACACUGACGCUCAGGCACGAAAGCGUGGGGAGCAAACAGGAUUAGAUACCCUGGUAGUCCACGCCCUAAACGAUGUCGACUGGGUGUUGGGGAAGCGAUUUCCCAGUACCGUAGCUAACGCGUGAAGUCGACCGCCUGGGGAGUACGGCCGCAAGGUUA